UGAAAGCCCACAGCUUAACUGUGGAGGGUCAUUGGAAACUGGGGAACUUUGAGUUGCAGAAGAGGAGAGUGGAAUUCCACGUGUAGCGGUGAAAUGCGUAGAUAUGUGGAGGAACACCAGUGGCGAAGGCGACUCUCUGGUCUGUAACUGACGCUGAGGCGCGAAAGCGUGGGGAGCGAACAGGAUUAGAUACCCUGGUAGUCCACGCCGUAAACGAUGAGUGCUAGGUGUUAGGGGGUUUCCGCCCCUUAGUGCUGAAGUUAACGCAUUAAGCACUCCGCCUGGGGAGUACGGCCGCAAGGCUGAAACUCAAAAGAAUUGACGGGGGCCCGCACAAGCGGUGGAGCAUGUGGUUUAAUUCGAAGCAACGCGAAGAACCUUACCAGGUCUUGACAUCCGCUGACAACCUUGGAGACAAGGCGUUCCCUUCGGGGACAGCGUGACAGGUGGUGCAUGGUUGUCGUCAGCUCGUGUCGUGAGAUGUUGGGUUAAGUCCCGCAACGAGCGCAACCCUUGAUUCUAGUUGCCAGCAUUCAGUUGGGCACUCUAGAGUGACUGCCGGUGACAAACCGGAGGAAGGUGGGGAUGACGUCAAAUCAUCAUGCCCCUUAUGACCUGGGCUACACACGUGCUACAAUGGAUGGUACAAAGGGCAGCAAAGUCGCGAGGCUAAGCAAAUCCCAUAAAACCAUUCUCAGUUCGGAUUGCAGGCUGCAACUCGCCUGCAUGAAGCCGGAAUCGCUAGUAAU
RNAcentral lists this ribosomal RNA (749 nucleotides) under Terribacillus halophilus. RNAcentral's name for it is "bacterial SSU rRNA". It matches the Rfam family "Bacterial small subunit ribosomal RNA", at positions 595 to 1342 of the family's 1533-position model. Lineage: Bacteria; Bacillati; Bacillota; Bacilli; Caryophanales; Bacillaceae. The record is from RNAcentral.